This 1357-nucleotide ribosomal RNA is filed under the name Synechococcus sp. MV1520. RNAcentral's name for it is "bacterial SSU rRNA". It matches the Rfam family "Bacterial small subunit ribosomal RNA". The record is from RNAcentral. RNAcentral also lists the same sequence under 1 other name. Lineage: Bacteria; Bacillati; Cyanobacteriota; Cyanophyceae; Synechococcales; Synechococcaceae.
AGAAUCUGCCCUCAGGAGGGGGAUAACGGUUGGAAACGACCGCUAAUACCCCAUAUGCCGCGAGGUGAAAUGAAUUUCGCCUGAGGAUGAGCUCGCGUCUGAUUAGCUAGUUGGUGGGGUAAAGGCCUACCAAGGCAUCGAUCAGUAGCUGGUCUGAGAGGAUGAUCAGCCACACUGGGACUGAGACACGGCCCAGACUCCUACGGGAGGCAGCAGUGGGGAAUUUUCCGCAAUGGGCGAAAGCCUGACGGAGCAACGCCGCGUGAGGGAUGAAGGCCUCUGGGCUGUAAACCUCUUUUAUCAAGGAAGAAGAUCUGACGGUACUUGAUGAAUAAGCCACGGCUAAUUCCGUGCCAGCAGCCGCGGUAAUACGGGAGUGGCAAGCGUUAUCCGGAAUUAUUGGGCGUAAAGCGUCCGCAGGCGGCCCUUCAAGUCUGCUGUUAAAAAGUGGAGCUUAACUCCAUCAUGGCAGUGGAAACUGUUGGGCUUGAGUGUGGUAGGGGCAGAGGGAAUUCCCGGUGUAGCGGUGAAAUGCGUAGAUAUCGGGAAGAACACCAGUGGCGAAGGCGCUCUGCUGGGCCAUCACUGACGCUCAUGGACGAAAGCCAGGGGAGCGAAAGGGAUUAGAUACCCCUGUAGUCCUGGCCGUAAACGAUGAACACUAGGUGUCGGGGGAAUCGACCCCCUCGGUGUCGUAGCCAACGCGUUAAGUGUUCCGCCUGGGGAGUACGCACGCAAGUGUGAAACUCAAAGGAAUUGACGGGGGCCCGCACAAGCGGUGGAGUAUGUGGUUUAAUUCGAUGCAACGCGAAGAACCUUACCAGGGUUUGACAUCCUGCGAAUCUCUUGGAAACGAGAGAGUGCCUUCGGGAACGCAGUGACAGGUGGUGCAUGGCUGUCGUCAGCUCGUGUCGUGAGAUGUUGGGUUAAGUCCCGCAACGAGCGCAACCCACGUCUUUAGUUGCCAGCAUUUAGUUGGGCACUCUAGAGAGACCGCCGGUGAUAAACCGGAGGAAGGUGUGGAUGACGUCAAGUCAUCAUGCCCCUUACAUCCUGGGCUACACACGUACUACAAUGCUACGGACAAAGGGCAGCAAGUUCGCGAGGACAAGCAAAUCCCAUAAACCGUGGCUCAGUUCAGAUCGUAGGCUGCAACUCGCCUACGUGAAGGAGGAAUCGCUAGUAAUCGCAGGUCAGCAUACUGCGGUGAAUACGUUCCCGGGCCUUGUACACACCGCCCGUCACACCAUGGAAGUUGGCCACGCCCGAAGCCGUUACUCCAACCCUCGGGAGGAGGACGUCGAAGGUGGGGCUGAUGACUGGGGUGAAGUCGUAACAAGGUAUCCGUACCGGAAGG